CUCUUUUAAAAGAAACAUUAAAGAUUUCUGUUUUAAAUUCAAGUUUGGGGACAGUAAGUGGGAAUUUGGAGUUCUUCCAUCUGACUCAUCUGGAUUCAUAUAAUACUUUUUUAUCUUUUCCUCUAAAUGAAAAACAGAAAUAUCUGUUAUGUCUUUUGGUGUGAGUUAGCACUAUUAAUAUGUUAAUGUCUGCAUAAUACUCUUCACUUCAUAGCUAAUAGUUUUUAUUACCAAGUUUUCUUUCUUUUUCUUUGGAAGGUUGAACUAAAUGAAAUAGAAUCCCGGUGUGAAGAAUACCCAUUGACUCGGGCCUUUUGCCAGCUUAUUAGUACCCUGGUGGAGAGCUCAUUUCCUUCUAAUUUGGGUGCUGGACUGCGGCCCCCUGGCUUUGACCCUUAUUUGCAGUUCCUUAGAGACUCUGUGUUUCUACGAUUCCGUACGAGAGCUUACCGGAGAGCAGCUGAAAAGAUGGAGGCUUAGCAAGGUUAAGGAACUUGCCUAAGGUCCAGGACCAGGAUUUGAACCUAGGACUCUGAUUCCAGAUCCAAGCUCAUAGCCACUAAGCUAUUGGGAAGUUGCUGAGGUGGUUUUGGAGGUGUUUUAUAAAUUGCUCAGAGAUUACGAGCCUCAGCUUGAAGAUUUUAUAGACCAGUUUGUGGAACUACAAGGAGAAGAAAUCAUAGCCUAUAAGCCACCUGGAUUUAGUCUGAUGUAUCAUCUGCUGAAUGAGUCACCAAUGUUGGAGCUUGCUCUCAGUUUACUGGAAGAAGGAGUUAAGCAGCUUGACACCUAUGCCCCCUUUCCUGGGAAAAAACACCUGGAGAAAGCAGUACAGCAUUGCCUUGCACUUCUCAAUCUUACUCUGCAGAAGGAAAAUCUUUUUAUGGACCUUCUAAGAGAGAGUCAACUGGCUCUAAUAGUCUGUCCUUUAGAACAGCUUUUGCAGGGAAUUAAUCCCAGAACUAAGAAGGCAGAUAAUGUGGUAAACAUUGCCAGAUACCUAUAUCAUGGCAAUACUAAUCCAGAAUUGGCUUUUGAAAGCGCCAAGAUCCUCUGUUGUAUCUCUUGCAACUCUAAUAUUCAGAUAAAGUUGGUUGGAGAUUUCACACAUGACCAGAGUAUAAGUCAGAAACUAAUGGCUGGAUUUGUGGAGUGUUUGGAUUGUGAAGAUGCAGAAGAAUUUGAUCAGAACUUGAAAAGAAAUUAGUUGCAAUUCGUCAUGAAACAAGAAUCCACAUCUUGAAUCUUCUCAUUACCUCUCUGGAAUGCAAUCCACCCAAUCUUGCUCUCUACCUGUUGGGCUUUGAAUUGAAAAAACCUGUCAGUACUACAAACCUACAAGAUCCAGGAGUGUUAGGUUGCCCUCGGACAUGCCUUCACGCCAUUCUAAACAUCUUGGAGAAAGGAACGGAAGGGAGAACAGGCCCAGUGGCAGUGCGAGAAUCUCCUCAACUGGCUGAGCUAUGUUACCAGGUCAUAUAUCAGUUAUGUGCAUGCUCUGAUACAUCUGGUCCUACUAUGAGGUACUUGAGAACCAGCCAGGAUUUCUUAUUUUCCCAGUUGCAGUAUCUACCAUUUUCUAACAAAGAAUAUGAAAUAUCUAUGCUGAACCAGAUGUCAUGGCUUAUGAAAACUGCCUCAAUAGAGCUAAGGGUAACCUCUCUGAAUCGUCAGCGGUCGCAUACCCAGAGGCUCCUACACCUCUUACUGGAUGACAUGCCAGUGAAACCAUACUCAGAUGGUGAAGGAGGAAUAGAAGAUGAAAACAGGUCUGUUUCUGGGUUCCUUCACUUUGACACUGCUACAAAAGUACGUCGAAAAAUUCUAAAUAUUCUUGACUCGAUUGACUUCAGUCAGGAGAUCCCUGAGCCUUUGCAGUUGGAUUUUUUUGAUCGGGCCCAGAUUGAACAAGUUAUUGCUAACUGUGAACACAAGAAUUUACGGGGACAGACAGUCUGCAAUGUCAAGCUUCUUCAUAGGGUUCUUGUAGCUGAAGUAAAUGCCCUUCAGGGUAUGGCAGCCAUAGGACAGAGACCUCUACUAAUGGAGGAAAUCAGCACUGUACUUCAGUAUGUGGUAGGAAGAAAUAAAUUGCUGCAGUGUCUUCAUGCAAAACGUCAUGCUCUGGAGUCGUGGAGGCAACUGGUAGAAAUUAUACUGACAGCUUGUCCCCAGGACCUCAUUCAGGCAGAGGAUCGACAACUGAUUAUUCGUGAUAUUUUACAAGAUGUGCAUGAUAAGAUACUGGAUGAUGAAGCUGCGCAAGAGUUAAUGCCUGUGGUCGCCGGGGCAGUGUUCACACUGACUGCUCACCUAAGCCAGGCCGUCCUCACUGAACAGAAGCAAACAUCAGUCUUGGGACCAGCAGAGGCCCAUUACGCUUUUAUGCUUGAUAGUUGCUUCACCUCACCUCCUCCUGAAGAGAACCCAUUAGUGGGUUUUGCUUCUAUUGGAGAUUCUUCACUUUACAUCAUAUUGAAGAAACUGUUAAACUUCAUUUUGAAGACAGGUGGUGGAUUCCAACGAGUGAGGACUCACUUGUAUGGCUCUCUGCUUUAUUACUUACAGAUUGCCCAGAGACCUGAUGAACCAGACACCUUAGAAGCAGCCAAGAAAACCAUGUGGGAAAGGCUGACAGCCCCUGAAGAUGUAUUUAGCAAAUUACAGCGAGAAAACAUAGCCAUUAUUGAAAGUUAUGGCGCCGCCCUCAUGGAAGUGGUCUGUCGAGAUGCUUGUGAUGGUCAUGAGAUUGGAAGGAUGCUGGCCCUGGCUCUACUUGAUAGAAUUGUCUCCGUGGAUAAACAGCAGCAGUGGCUUUUGUAUCUUUCUAACAGUGGCUACUUGAAGGUCCUCGUAGACAGCUUGGUAGAAGAUGACCGUACUUUGCAGAGCUUACUCACCCCACAGCCUCCCCUUUUAAAAGCACUUUAUACUUAUGAAUCUAAAAUGGCAUUUCUCACAAGAGUGGCAAAGAUACAGCAGGGUGCAUUAGAGCUGCUAAGAUCAGGGGUGAUUGUGAGACUAGCUCAAUGCCAAGUCUAUGACAUGCGCCCAGAAACGGACCCGCAGAGCAUGUUUGGCAUGAGAGACCCUCCAAUGUUCAUCCCUACCCCAGUGGAUCGCUACCGCCAGAUUCUCCUCCCAGCUCUCCAGCUGUGCCAGGUCAUCCUCACAUCUAGUAUGGCCCAGCACUUGCAGGCAGCAGGGCAGGUAUUGCAGUUUCUUAUUUCACAUUCUGAUACCAUACAAGCAAUUCUGCGCUGUCAGGAUGUUAGUGCUGGGUCUUUGCAGGAAUUGGCUCUGCUGACAGGAAUUAUAAGUAAAGCAGCACUUCCUGGGAUAUUAAGUGAACUUGACGUUGAUGUAAAUGAAGGGUCUCUAAUGGAGCUACAGGGACAUAUUGGAAGAUUCCAGCGCCAGUGCUUAGGACUACUAAGUCGCUUUGGUGGCUCUGACAGACUGCGUCAGUUUAAAUUUCAAGACGAUAAUGUGGAGGGAGAUAAAGUAAGCAAGAAAGAUGAGAUUGAACUGGCUAUGCAGCAGAUUUGUGCCAAUGUAAUGGAAUAUUGCCAGUCACUCAUGUUACAGAGUUCCUCUACCUUCCAGCAUGCUGUGUGUCUCUUCACUCCUAGCCUUUCAGAAACAGUUAAUAGAGAUGGACCGCGGCAAGAUACCCAAGCUCCAGUGGUUCCAUACUGGCGCCUGCCUGGUUUAGGCAUUAUCAUCUACCUGCUGAAACAGAGUGCUAAUGAUUUCUUCAGCUAUUAUGACAGUCAUCGACAGAGUGUCAGCAAGCUACAAAAUGUAGAGCAGCUUCCCCCAGAUGAGAUAAAAGAGUUGUGUCAGUCUGUGAUGCCUGCUGGUGUUGAUAAAAUCUCCACUGCCCAGAAAUAUGUUCUAGCAAGACGGCGCUUGGUGAAGGUGAUCAACAAUCGAGCUAAACUGCUUUCCCUUUGUUCUUUUAUCAUAGAGACCUGCCUAUUUAUUCUUUGGCGCCAUCUGGAGUACUACUUGUUACAUUGCAUGGCCACGGAUUCUCAAGAUUCCUUAUUUGCCUCGAGAACCUUGUUUAAAAGCAGAAGACUGCAAGAUUCCUUCGCCUCAGAAACCAAUCUAGAUUUUAGAAGUGGGCUGGCUAUAGUGAGCCAACAUGAUUUAGACCAGCUUCAGGCUGAUGCAAUCAACGCUUUUGGAGAAUCACUACAAAAGAAACUUCUGGACAUUGAAGGAUUAUAUUCAAAAGUUCGAUCUCGAUAUAGUUUCAUACAGGCUCUUGUCAGACGUAUCCGUGGCCUCUUGAGGAUAUCAAGGAACUGAGAGCCCGUGCUUAUGCUCUUCUAUGAGAGAGAUGAAUUGGGGAGAACUGUCUCCAUUUUAUGGAUUAGUUUCUUUCUAAAUUAUGACCAAAAAUAUUUUGCUAUUUCUUUCUUUGUAUAUGGACAUCUUUUCUGUAAACUUCUUCCCCUAGUUCCAUCCUCACUAGUAAAAAAUAAAUACUUUUUAAAAAAACAAAACAAA
RNAcentral lists this small RNA (4518 nucleotides) under Pan troglodytes (chimpanzee). RNAcentral describes it as "retained intron". Lineage: Eukaryota; Metazoa; Chordata; Mammalia; Primates; Hominidae. The record is from RNAcentral.